AGAACGAACGCUGGCGGCAGGCUUAACACAUGCAAGUCGAACGCCCCGCAAGGGGAGUGGCAGACGGGUGAGUAACGCGUGGGAACAUACCCUUCGGUACGGAAUAGCUCAGGGAAACUUGGAUUAAUACCGUAUACGGCCGGGAGGCGAAAGAUUGAUCGCCGAAGGAUUGGCCCGCGUCCGAUUAGCUAGUUGGUGGGGUAAUGGCUCACCAAGGCGACGAUCGGUAGCUGGU
Molecule: ribosomal RNA, 235 nt
Filed under: uncultured bacterium
Lineage: Bacteria
Description: partial small subunit ribosomal RNA
Rfam family: Bacterial small subunit ribosomal RNA
Source: RNAcentral